AGGCGCAUGGCUCAACGGCAGAGCGCCACCGUGACGUGGUGGAGGUCCAGGUUCGACUCCUGGUGUGCCUA
RNAcentral lists this transfer RNA (71 nucleotides) under Alphaproteobacteria bacterium. Its description in RNAcentral is "tRNA-Val". It matches the Rfam family "tRNA". Rfam says of the family: Transfer RNA (tRNA) molecules are approximately 80 nucleotides in length. The record is from RNAcentral. Lineage: Bacteria; Pseudomonadati; Pseudomonadota; Alphaproteobacteria.